UAAAUAUUCAGUGUUACUGGUGCCCUUAAAAGGGAGAAUAGGGAACUGGGUGAGAAUCCCGGACGGACCCACCACUGUAAAGAGGAGACUUAUGCAUUGCCACUGGGAAACUGGGAAGGCGCAAAAAGUUGAUGACUCUGAGUCAGGAGACCUGCCUGUAACCUAGUAAAUCA
RNAcentral lists this non-coding RNA (173 nucleotides) under Desulfosporosinus sp. The record is from RNAcentral. Lineage: Bacteria; Bacillati; Bacillota; Clostridia; Eubacteriales; Desulfitobacteriaceae.